AGAUGUCACCAGCCCUCUGAAGCUUCAUCGGACAGAGACUUUCCCAACCUACCGGUCCGAGCACUGACAGCAACCGCCAAGAGCUGUUAGCACACUUGUGCCGUAUCAGCCACAGAUCCACGUGCAGGAGGACGCAGAGGGACAGCCAGGGAGAGCGCAGAAUGUGGAGAAGCGGCUUUGCACCCUGCUAACAUGUGUGGCCAUGGGAAAUGCUACGGAACAACGUCUGUACAUAAAAUUUCCCCCCUUUCCCUUCUUUUUUUUUUGUUUUCCUUUUCUUUUUUUUUAAAGAUACAGCCCUAACCUCACAGAAACAUGCCGGAUUAUAUCAACCCACCCUGUUUUUAUAGCCAGACAGAAGGAGUCGGUGUCGCUACUACGGACUGAUUUUCUAUGGGUGACAGGUGCCCCCUUGUGCCUCUCUGAGUCUGUCCUUUUGUGGAUGUGUGUGAUUCUCCUUGUAAGUGUUUCAGUUGUAAGACAGUCAACAUGGACAAUAAAAUGCCUCUUCAGUA
Molecule: long non-coding RNA, 515 nt
Filed under: Rattus norvegicus (Norway rat)
Lineage: Eukaryota; Metazoa; Chordata; Mammalia; Rodentia; Muridae
Description: long non-coding RNA NONRATT018933
Source: RNAcentral